GCCGUCAACGUUUUCACCGCUUCGCGAACUGCCGUUCGACUUACGCCGUACUGCUCGCCCAGUUCUAUUUCGCCGGGAAGAAUCGUACCGGGGGCGUAGUCACCCUUUAAUAUCCGCUGCGCCAGCUUUUCAGCCAGAACAUAGGAUAGAUUUUUCUGUGCGGCUAAUUGUUGUGCGCUUAAAGGCAUGAAUGUUCUUCCUUUCUCUUUCGUUUGGUUAUUAGUAUGCCACCUGGAAGUGUGAUUGCAGUUGCAAUAACGGCAAUUUGCUUAUUUUAUGGCACGUUAAGCACGCUAUUGAUGAAAAAAGAGACACUCAGAAAAUUAUUUUAAAUU
Molecule: ribosomal RNA, 335 nt
Filed under: Salmonella enterica subsp. enterica serovar Uganda str. R8-3404
Lineage: Bacteria; Pseudomonadati; Pseudomonadota; Gammaproteobacteria; Enterobacterales; Enterobacteriaceae
Description: partial large subunit ribosomal RNA
Source: RNAcentral